CUCUGCUGUGAUCUGAAGAAAAGGCAGGUGAAGUAAAAGUGCCAUAAGACAGAAGGCUGGGAAGAUGCACACCCCUUGGGUAAGGCUUUGGCAUGUGUCAGCUAUUGUGCCUCACUGCACGGGCAGACAAGACCUUCGGGACACUGAAGAGAUGACAUCUCAGCAAAGCAUGACACAAGGGAUCAUACAGUCAUACAAGAGAAGAGCAAAACUGAAGGAGUAAAAGCUUUUGUGGUAUAAAGAAGCGUGGAAAGGGGAUGGAACAGCUUGUGGAAAGGUGAUGGAACAGCUUGUUCUAGAUGCCAUCUCCAAGCAAUUGGAAGAGAAGAAGGUCAUCAGAAAUAGUCAGCAUGGAUUCACCAAGGGAAAAUUGUGCUCAACCAACCUCGUAGCCUUCUAUGAUGGCAUCACCAGCUGGAUAGAUGGGGGGAGAGCAGUGGAAGUUGUCUACCUUGACUUCAGCAAGGCUUUUGAUACUAUCAUCUCCCACGACAUCCUGAUAACGAAGCUGAAAAAGUGUGGGAUAGAUGAGUGGACGGUGAGGUAGGUUGAGAACUGGUGACUGGCCGAGCUCAGAGGAUGGUGAUCAGCGGUGCGGAGUCCGGUUGGAGAUCUGUGACUACCGUUGUUCCCCAGGGGGUGGUGCUGUUUCCGGUCUCGUUCAACAUCUUCAUCAAUGACCUUGAUGAGGGGAUAGUGUCCACCCUCAGCUAGUAUGCUGAUGAUACAAAGCUGGGAGGAGUGGCUGACAUGCCAGAAGGCUGUGCUGCCAUUCAGCAAGAUGCAUACUGUGCACAGCCACCACAUAGCAUCUGCACCAUUCUCCCUCUCCACGAAGGAGGAGCAGCUCAGCAAGCUUGGUCUGGGCCAUCAAAGGGAACAUCGAAACAUCUGGAUUGUUUUCUGCUGUUUGUCUCACAUCCUUCUGGAAAGAAAGUAGGAGGAGACAGAGCUCAGAUUUGAUCCCAUUGUGUGUGAUGAUGAAUGCCAAGGGGCAGAAGUUAGUGCUUAGGCAGGGGAGAGGCUAGGCAAGCUGAGCAUUGUAGAGCAACGAGAUUAAAAUAGAGCUCAUUCUAAGUGGCUGUUCAGCGCUUUGCAGGUAUUGAUCUUGCAGCGGGAUCUGUCUGGCCACAGGACCGUGGUUGGAUACAUUGAUUCCAGUAGAAACUCAGUAAACAGCGGCAACCUGUGCAAAGCGCUGACAGGAAUGCUGAACACUCUGCUAAGGAACAAAGCAUUGAGCAAAAAGGAUGCUUGGGCCAGGUGACCGCAGAAGUCUGGCUGUUUUGGAUGGUGGCAACUGAUAGAAUCAGGUUUUCUUGGGACUGCUGAGCUUUUGAUGUGUUUUUACUACCACGUGUUGGGCCUGUUUGCUUGUAGAAGGAAGACUGUUAGGUGUAGUUUUCACAGAGAACUUCUGUUAUGAUUUCUUUAUGAUUUUAAUCCAAAAUAUCAGGAGUGUUGCAAGAAAGGGCCCUGCCAAUGCUGGUGGGGCAAGGUGGUGAACCUUGUGAAUGAAUGCCUGCAGAUGGGGUUUCAGAGAAGGAGGUCCUGCAGGUUUUCUGUGACACCCAUGAAGUUGUAGCGAGGCUGCAUCAGUGUAAAACACCAGGAAUCCACAGAGAUCUGAAGCUUUUGCUCCCGGAAGAACAGAGCAGUGACAAGGAACGGCUGCAGAUUCGAGGAACUUGUCUGCCUUGUUCUGAUCUCUUGCCAGCGUGUCAUGCAUAGGCUGAUGGCCAUGGCAUGCAACAAGAUCAGCUGUGGCCCUAACCUGGCAUGGACAGAGGAGAAAAUGUAACGACAUGCAACCGUUUCGGUGAGACACGUUGCCAUGUGCAUUAUUAUAAAUGGAUUUUAGUACAUUAGUUUUAGGCAUGUUGCCUGUCUAGAGAGGAUAACUGAGAAAGUAAAUGCAGGACAUGCCUGAUCCAAAGGAAAUGCAAUAAAGUAUUUCAGUUUAUUAAAAGAAGUUCAAUAUUUUUACAAAUAUUCAAUUUGUAUUCCUGGCUUACAGUACAUCAUUUAGAGUGAUCAUAGAGUUUUUGCUUAUUACAAAACCUGUAAUUCUCUAAAUUCUUUAAGCAUACCCCUUUUGUUGUUAUAAACACUUGAUAUAGUAAAUUUCAGCCAUGAACAAAAAGCCAGGGCAAGGUCUUGCCACAAGCAUGUUACUCAGUGCCUCAUUUUGUUUUAAAUGAUGGGGUAAACUUCAUUCUGAAUAUAGUGUUGUAAUAUUGUGGUACUUUUGAUUUGCAUGUCUUACUCUUAUCUCCUGGGAUUUCAGAGAACUAAUUCCUUGGAUCAGGCAGUGAAGUUACAGUGGUAAAUGGAGAUGGGUUAGUUCAUCUUGAUACAAAUAAAAAGAACCCUCUCCACAUGCUAUACUGCAAUGUGUAUUGUCUCCUAUUUUGAAGGUGAUGACAAGAAAAACACAAUUUCUUACAAGACUAUCUAGCCAUACUCUACUGAAUGAUAGGUAAAGUGCUUUUUCAUACAGUAUGCUGACUUUCUCCAUAUUUCAGUAUGAAAAAAGAUUCAAUUUCUAAGUCCAGUUUAUAAAAUUUAAUUAGAACUUUUAAAUCCCAUUUAGUAGAUUAAAUUUAUUGCAGACUACAGUGACUGCUGCUGUUUUCUGCUGUUUCAGAUCUUCUAGGUAUACAGAUAAUAUAGUCUUUGUGAACCACAGAUCUCAAAAUAAGUGUUUGUAAUAUGUAUUAGCUAAGAGGCUGAGUACAGUUCAGUCCCACCCCAAAUCUCAGUUUUCUUUGCCUCAGUUUAUUUUGCCUUUUCUGCCUUCUAGAGUCUCUCUUCUUAGGAAGGAAGGCAUGCCUCUGCCCUUCUGCCCCUCUCUCCACUACAUUUAUUCUACCAAGAACUGGUUUCCUCUAGACACUGUCUUCUGGAUCUCUUUGUUUGAGGCCUUGGGAGUUGGUGGGGUUUGUUCAUUUUUUAAUUUGUUUGUUUUUUCCAUUUUUUUAUUUUUAUAGGUAGUCCCUGUGGCGACUGAGCUUUCCUGUAUUCUUGCUCAACUCUGGCUAUAAACAAGAUGGUUUACAAGAUGGUGUGGUUAAGACUAGAGGUGUGAGAUACUUCAAUGGCAAAGUUUGGCAAGGGUUUAUAAAAGGACUUUAUUACAUUCUAUAUAUUUUUUUACCUGAACCUUACAUUUAUUUUUUUCCAAAUCUUUCCAUCCCCGCAGAUUUUGAUGUUUUUGACAAUAAUGAAAUCCAAAACCUGGCACUUUGUUUGAUUGUUGACUCAUUCUUUUUUCUCACUAAAUAGAAAUAAGUUUUAGGGAGGACUGAAUCUAGGGGAAAUGAUGUGAACUGAAAGAAGUAGGUUUUGCACAGUUAGAAUAAGAGCUAUGACUCACAUGCAAAAAGCAAGAAAGGGGAACUCAGAGCAAGAAUAACUCUGCUAGAAUGGUUUUACACUUUCGGAGAAUAACAACAUCCUCAAAUAAACUAGUUCAGUGUGUGUAAACCUACCUCCAUUUCUUCUCUGUAUUUGGAACACUUACUCACUGUAUUCCAGAGAUAAGCAGAUGUUUUGGGAGCUUUCAAGGGUACAAUAAAGUGUAAGAAUACUUCAGAAGCCUCUAAACAUUUGAAGAUUUUAACCAAGCUUGAACCAGACAGUCUGGAACAUGUCUAUCACAAAUUAAAGCCAUAAUGAAAGAGAUUUUAAAAGAUAUGGCUCCUUUCUUUGUGUUUUCAAAUAAAAAUACUCAUUGGCUUUCCUUUGUGCAGGAGUGUUUGGCUAGAAUUCUUAGGGGAAAACUGAGCCAAAACACAUGCUAGUUUACUGAGAUACUACUAGGUGAAUGAAUAAAUAAUGGAUAGAUAAAUAAUUGAGUCUUAGACAUUUUUGAUGUUGUAAACAAAGAUUGAAAGUAGUCAUUGGGGAAAUUUUGUUCAUCUUAUCUAGUACUCAGGAUUCAUUCUGUAACAAAUAUUUUCUUCUGAAGUGACUGUGUGAAUAAGCACAUAUCAGCUGUAUUAAUGCCAUUUGUAUUUCACAGCUGUAGAUAAUGCAAGCUGGGUGUUGUUUUGGCCUGGUACAGUAUAUCCUGGGCUUAAAAAGGUUCUUAAAACAUUAACCUGUCAUCCAAUCUUUCUAUCUGCCCUCAUUAAGGCUGUAUAAAAAGUAAAUAAGAACACAAUAUUCCAUUAUGUUCCAAUAUGGGUUAAUAUAAAAUCAGUCACAUGUAUUCCAAACUGUGAACCAUAGUGGCAGAUAGGAAGCACUGGGUUGCAGGGCUAGCUUUGAUGAGACUCGCCUCAUCAGGAAGGAGGAAAGCAGGUUUUUUGCAUUCCACAGGCUUUUCCCCUCAUCACUGUGACAAAAACAGAUUCUCUUGUGCUGUUUCACUUUCCACUAUAAGAGACAGCAUACUGAGACCCAUUCCACUGGGGAUCAACUUCCUUACCUGUGUGUGAGACCCAGAGCCUGACCUCCAUCUCCCACAGCCCAGUGAGCAGCUCUAACCUCAUGUCUAUUCUGAACUCAAUUUUUCUCCAUUUGCUGCAGAAAAGGUACCAAUCAAUAGUUAAAUAUUCACAAGCUCUUUGUAUCAAAACACAUGUAAGAUCAGUUAGGCAACUCAAUUAACAUUUCUCUUUUAGUUCUAUCAGAUGGUAAAAUGAAGAUAAGAUGUUUGGGAACAGCUCUGAUUUGAUUGUUGGGCCAUCCUGUAAGAGACGAUUCUUAAUAGCAGUGGUAGCAACUUGUGGGCUGACCUAAUUCCUGCCUGGAUGACUCUCUAACACCCACUGCUUUCAAUCUCCCUGUCACAUCACAAGAGAGAGGUGAACCCAUAGCUCAAGGCAUUGUGUGGGAAGAAUUUUUACAGGCACAUUAACCUAUAAUCUCUGGCAAAUAUGCCACAGCAUUGGCACCAUUAUUCUCUGUGCUAUGUGGUAGCUCCUCUGUCACUCUCUGAGCCCUGUGAAAUCAGUGUUACAGUGCAGGAAUGCAGUGUUGGGGGAAGAGAGGACAAAAAGUAAUGCCUCCCCCUCCCAGGCUCGUAUCUCGGUGGUCCUUCCUUGGUAGGGCGUUACAUAUUUCCAUCUCCAAAUUGCACUUCCCCUUUAGGGGAAAAGGUACAAGCUAAGAGCCUUUGAAGGUGGGAAUGAACCCAUAUCAAGAACCUGUGGAGUGAGUAGAUAUCAUAAUUCCCUAGCCAUUCAGUUAAUGAUAAAUCUUUUAUUGAUGACAAAAGAAAGCAAUCUGUUGAGGUUUUGGGUCUGCAAUGAGCUUUGGACUGCAAAGACAACUGAGAGUUCUGUUUCUGAAAUGACAUUUUGGGAGUAAGAGUGAAAAAAACAUUUCUGGAAGCAGUAAACCAUUAACUACAGUCAGUGGAAAAUGGAUAUGUAUGCUUACACACAGUAUUUAUAUACGUGUGUGUAGUCUGACAUGCAUGCAUCUUUAUAUGUACAUGUAUUUCAUACAGUGUGUAUGUUUCAGGCAGCAAAUCACACAAGUAGGAGUAUCAGCAUGUUGAAACAAGAUAUUUUGCUCUUUCUUCUUGCUAGAAAGAAAAACACCACAACUUUGGAACAGAUUGGACUUCUUUUUUCUGUUCUCAGACAUUGCUGUCUUUCUGCUGUAAUAUUUGCUAUUCCUACUCCUAUCAAGUGUUCCUCAUCUCUUCAGAAAACAAUUAGAAACAACUUGGGUGAAAUGCACUAAAGAAAAAUACACUUCCAAGGAAAAAGGACAUUAAAAGUGUUGUAGAUAAUUUCAUCCUCUUAGAACAAUGGGCUUGUAUCAAUGUGUUUGGAAAACCUACGGGGUUUAUGGCAUUCAGUUUCAGGAAAGAAAGACAGUGUCUUUUGUGUUACUCACAUUUACCUGCCAAGACUUUUAUGAGAGAUCAGAGACAAUAAAAGAGACAAAAAAAUACAAACAGACUAUUUUGUAUAAUCUUAGAGGUGAACUAGACGGAAGCAAAAAUUGCUGAGUCUCUGAAAAUCAGGACAAAUUUGCUUAGGUCCAUUACUUGCAUCUUCUCACACAAUUGAAAAUUUGGCAAGAGUCCAUUAAAUAUCUUGUGAAGAUAGCAACAAAUCUGAAUCUGUUUCAAAAUAUUUCUUCCUGGAGGUUUUUCUGUUGGAAAUCUCAGGAUAUUUAGCAACUAUUUUUAGCAUGGGAACUCAGGCAGUAACAGCUAGUAGUCUGUGGAUUGUAGGGUAAACCGUUGGUUUUACAUCUGUCUUCUAAGAGAGUCAGACUGUGCACACAAUGGAUAUAAUGAGAUGAGGUGGGUUUCGGACACUGUAAAAAGCAUUCCUUCCUACUUGUACUCCUCUCUUUUAGAAUGUAGGUCAUGUACAAUACAUGGUGCAGAGUCAUUGAUGUAAUUGCCAGGUUUUCAUCAUGGUGUUAUGAUUCAUCUAUAAAGAGUCAGUUAUUGGAAAACCUGGCAAAUAGCAACUCUUUUUUUAGACCAGUCUAAGACUAUAAGUAAGUACCCCACCUAGAUACAUUCAUCAUGAUAAAAUACUGAAAUAGUGCAUUCACUUUGAAAUUCUCAAAAUCAGUGGUAUUCAUUAUUCCUUAAACUUGAGGUCAUUUGCAUGCUCAUCAUCAAUCUGAACUGACAUUUUUCAGUGCUGUUCAUCUGAAAAAUAUUCCCUGAUUCUUGCAGCAAAGUGUAUUGUACUAUGCUACCUUGAAAUGUCUGAACUUUACUUUGUGCAAAGAUUAUAUGUAUAGAAUAUCUUCAUAUUUACAAAUGCACCCUUAAUUACAAUGCUUCCAAGCAAGGACAAUGUAAGUGCUUUUUAUUUGGGAAGGAGUAUCAUAUUAUAUACAUGGAAAAAAUACAGGAACUUUCUUGAAAAUGUUAAUUGAACUUUAUUAAACAGCUAACAGGAGAGAACUAGGAGGCCUCAGUUUUACAGCAAAUAUAAGGCUGGCCUUUUGCAUUUCCCCUUCACAAAGAAAAAGUAUAACCUACUUGGCAUCAACUUCUGAUGAUUAAUUUAUAUAGCAUUAGUAUGAAAGGGCUGUGUGAAGCUAUAUUUAAGGAAUGCAAUUAGUACUGAUGAAAAAGUGCUUUUGAUGCCUUCUGACCAAUGUGUUUUUGACAAUUGUAGGAGUGCUAGUUUUUAAAAGGAAAUAUACAUAAACAACCUUCUUGAGGCAAAACUGUUGGAGAACAACAGGUAUUAUAAAAAACAAUUAGUAUGAAAAUAAAUAGCAAGAUAAAGUGUUCUUCUUUUACAUGGUAUCUAAUUAAAAGUGAUGAGGAAAUGUAUUGCAAUUCAGCCUCAGCAUUAUAUAUUCCAGUUACAAGGAAGACUGAAGCCACUUUUUCAUAUAGAGAAGUCUAAAUUCAAAAGAAUGGAAGAAUAGUUUAGAGCCUAGAAAUCCCUUUUUCCCUCACUCUGCUUCUUGCUAAAAUGGUAUGUGCUGGACAACAAUGACAGCUUGAAUAUUGGACCUGGACCACAGAGCACAAGGGCAGAGGGAUUUUGUUGCUAUGCUUAAGUGUUUGGGAUGCUUGACAUAUAUAUUAUAUGAUACUGCACAAAUAUCUGCCUGAAUACUGUUUUUUUUCUGUAAAGAAGCAAAUUAAAUGGCGAAUUAGACAA
This is a long non-coding RNA of Numida meleagris (helmeted guineafowl), 7604 nucleotides long. RefSeq lists it as uncharacterized. The transcript is spliced from 8 exons. The record is from RefSeq and is a predicted model, not a curated record. NCBI's taxonomy places the organism in Eukaryota, Metazoa, Chordata, Aves, Galliformes, Numididae.